CCUACCUAUCAUUUGAUCUCUCUCUCUCUCUUAGUCACACUCCCAUCGAUUAUUUUCUCUUAUAGGGAUUCAACAAUCUUAAUGAUACCAAAAGGUGAGGACCCUGUAUGAGUCAUGAUUAGUCACAUAAGGAUUGGUAUAUUCUGAAAGAAAUUCAAAGAAACAAUGAACACAUCCAGAUCUUAAGUGAGCAGAGGACUGAAAAUUACAUUUAGGAGUGUGUUGGAUAAAAUUCAGUUGGGUCUUCAAUAUCAGGGGUCAGAUUAGGAGUCUAUUUGUUUCACAAAUUUUUGGUACACACAUGGUACUUGUUGCUUUCUGAAAAAGAUUUAUAAGGCUAUCUACUCACUUUAUUUAAUUUGAUAGAUUUCAUACUUCGACGAGGUGAUUGUGACACUAUUGUAGAAUAUCCGAUUUUGGCUUAUGUGCAGAUUCAACACUAAAAGGGAUGAGGUAAAGAGAUGGCAGAAUACAGAUUAUAAAAGGAUCUUUCUAAUUAUUGAGAAACGCAAGAAAGUGGCCAUGAAAUAUUUCUCAGCAAUGGCUGGAGAGAUGGUAAGUUUUCAAUCGCAUAUAAAAGGAACGGAAACACUUGUAGUUGACUUGGUGAAGAAAGUGUGCACUUGUAGGGCUUUCCAAUUAUCAGGCAUACCGUGUCCCCAUGCUUUAACUUCUAUAUUGGCACCAAGAUUGAAGGUAUAUGAUUUUGUUGAUGACUGAUAUAAAGAAGAAGCUUACAUGGUUGCAUAUACUGGUAUAAUAAAGCCCAUGCCUAGUCCAGAUAAGUGGACUCAAACUGGGCUCAACCCCAUGCUCCCACCUCUAAAGAAAGUCCUACCUAGAAGACCAAAGAGAGAGUAACCGAAGUAAUGAUGAACCUCCACCAGGUGCUAAAAAAAUGUCAAGGCCCAAAGUUACUAAGAAGAGAAGUAGACCAAUUAAGGCUAACCCACUUCCUGCGAGAGUGAAGAAAAAUGCAAGGAGAAGGAAAAAAAAAAAGCGAAGGAACAUGCCUCUGGAUCUCAACAAGAACAGUGAUGAUUUUUUUUGAAACCUAUAGUUGUACAGAUCAUUAGAUACUCUGUGGAGCAGCCUCUUUUGAUUAAAUAUUUAGAUUGGUUUAGUGCCUUGAUUUUAAACAUAUAAUCAUGAAAGAAACAUGUGAACAAAACAUAUAACAAUGUCAAUAUAUAAUUUAUGAUUUUUAUUGAUAGUAAAUAAGAUUAUAUUGAAAUU
Molecule: long non-coding RNA, 1236 nt
Organism: Cannabis sativa
Lineage: Eukaryota; Viridiplantae; Streptophyta; Magnoliopsida; Rosales; Cannabaceae
Exons: 2
Source: RefSeq, a predicted model, not a curated record